AAAAUAUUUGUAUCCUGACGCAAAUGAUUGUUUUCCUUUGGUUAGCCUUGAAGUGUAUGUUUUGAACGAUGAAUGCAAGAAUAAAGUUAGUACAAAUUGCGAUGCUGAUCUGCAAACAAAUGAAAUUUUGUCCCAAUUCCAAUUUGUCCCGUUCGACCGAGGAAAGCUAAGUAAAAGUUGAUGCGAUCGAGUGAACCAAUGGCUCGACUUGAGGACAAGUCGUUCUAAAGAAGGGGGGAUGAUACGACCCUACCCCAAAAACAUCCUUGGUUCAGUUCAUCAGGCGACAAUCGCAAAUUCUUGCAAGUUGAUCGAGAUUGUUUCAGUUCAAUGGAGCUCAAAUUCGAUCUAAUUUCAGCUCAUUAAAUUUGAACUUCAAUUUAUUUUAACUUAUGCUUUUAAAUAGUUGCUGGAAUAAAUUAAGUUCAUUAGUUAGUUUAUUAAUUUCAGCAUGCACAUGAUUUAAUUUGGGUCUAAUAAUUUUUAUAUUAAAUUUGCUUUAUUUAGUAUAUGAUUUAAUUAUGUUUUCAAUUAGUACACA
RNAcentral lists this long non-coding RNA (541 nucleotides) under Gossypium barbadense (sea-island cotton). RNAcentral describes it as "long non-coding RNA (GBAR_LNC004373)". The record is from RNAcentral. Lineage: Eukaryota; Viridiplantae; Streptophyta; Magnoliopsida; Malvales; Malvaceae.